Molecule: RNase P RNA, 361 nt
Filed under: Planctomycetaceae bacterium
Lineage: Bacteria; Pseudomonadati; Planctomycetota; Planctomycetia; Planctomycetales; Planctomycetaceae
Description: RNase P RNA component class A
Rfam family: Bacterial RNase P class A
About the family: Ribonuclease P (RNase P) is a ubiquitous endoribonuclease, found in archaea, bacteria and eukarya as well as chloroplasts and mitochondria. Its best characterised activity is the generation of mature 5'-ends of tRNAs by cleaving the 5'-leader elements of precursor-tRNAs. Cellular RNase Ps are ribonucleoproteins.
Source: RNAcentral
UAAGUGGGACGGACGGUCGCUGCUCUUAUUUUGAGUGGAGGAAAGUCCGGGCUCCAUCGGACACGAUGACGGAUAACGUCCGCCGACCGAAAGGUCAGGGAAAGUGCAACAGAAAGUAAACCGCCGGUAAUACCGGUAAGGGUGAAACGGCGAGGUAAAAGCUCACCGCGAUUUCGGGUAACCGAAUCGGCUAGGCAAACCCCAUCGGGAGCAAGGUCAAACAGAAUCGAGGUUGUCCGAACCGUUAUCAGAUUCGGGUGGACUGCUUGAGGAAUUGGGUAACCGGUUCCCCAGAUAAAUGACCGUCACUCCGGUUCAUUCAACCAGAGUACAGAACCCGGCUUAUAGUCCCGCUUUUUUU